AACGCACGAGACCUGCGGACCUGCGGAGGGAUCAUUACUGAGAUAGGGUUUCUUCUGAGCCCGACCUCCAACCCUUUGCUUAAACCACCUUGUUGCUUUGGCAGGCCCCGUCCCUUUGGGGACCGCCGGGAGUGUUUAAUCACCCUUGGCCAGUGCCUGCCAGUAGCCAAUUUAAAUUCCUUUUUAACCAUGUUGUCUGAAAAAAACACAAGAAAUUCAAUUAAAACUUUCAGCAACGGA
Molecule: unclassified non-coding RNA, 240 nt
Filed under: soil metagenome
Description: partial contains 5.8S ribosomal RNA, internal transcribed spacer 2, and large subunit ribosomal RNA
Source: RNAcentral